CAGUGCCGCGGUAAUACGUAGGGUGCAAGCGUUAAUCGGAAUUACUGCGCGUAAAGCGUGCGCAGGCGGUUAUAUAAGACAGAUGUGAAAUCCCCGGGCUCAACCUGGGAACUGCAUUUGUGACUGUAUAGCUAGAGUACGGCAGAGGGGGAUGGAAUUCCGCGUGUAGCAGUGAAAUGCGUAGAUAUGCGGAGGAACACCGAUGGCGAAGGCAAUCCCCUGGGCCUGUACUGACGCUCAUGCACGAAAGCGUGGGGAGCAAACAGGAUUAGAUACCCCCGUAGUCCCUGUCUCUUAUACA
Molecule: ribosomal RNA, 301 nt
Filed under: uncultured bacterium
Lineage: Bacteria
Description: partial 16S ribosomal RNA
Rfam family: Bacterial small subunit ribosomal RNA
Source: RNAcentral